Molecule: long non-coding RNA, 890 nt
Filed under: Monodelphis domestica (gray short-tailed opossum)
Lineage: Eukaryota; Metazoa; Chordata; Mammalia; Didelphimorphia; Didelphidae
Description: lncRNA (ENSMODG00000033959.2)
Source: RNAcentral
AGGAUGAAGAGUCAUCGUCCUCAUUCUAAGAGUUUGAGGUAGUGUCUAAGAAGUCUACAGUGGUCUGUAGAGCUGCAUCUGCUCUUCUGGCAUUGUCCCUGCCAACAGCCAUGCAGACUGGGGGCCAGAGCCAGGAGGAAAAUGAAGGGCCUGCAUUGAUACCACUGAGAACUCAGCCUUCAGGAACUGGUAAAUGACUUUUUUUAACCUCUGGAGAUAAACUGGACAGACUGGAGCCAGUAUCAAGACAGUCCUUCCAACUCUACUUUCCCAGCAACUAGUAGGUAAUGAAAACUGCCCCUUCUAUAGACCAAGAAUGUGUCUCUGAGGAUCUCCAAGCACCUUAUAAAUGUUUGGUUUCAUUUAGCAAUCCACAGCUCCAAGGAUAUGAAACCACCAGGGAAGCCCUCAGCACAUUUUCACAAGAAUCUGUUUUGAGUGAGUUUGAUUGCCAGUUCUUUCUCUGGAUGUGGAUAUCAUUCUUUCUCACAAGUUCCUCUGAAUUGUCCUGGGCCAUUGCAUUGCUGUCAGCUCAGCAUUGCAGAGCCAGUGGUUUUAUAGGAAGAAAUGAGCUAUAAUGCAAGGUCAUCUGAUUGAUUUCACAUUUCUUGUGUCAAAACCAUGAAAACACCAGGGAAGGAUUGGCCAGUGAAGCAUCAAUAUGUGCCAUAAAACAUGGAAGUUUCCAGAUAUGGAGUCAUCCAGAUAAGAGGAGGAUAAAGUUGCCAGAAUUGUUAAGAUAUACGUAGAGCAGAGGCAGCCUUAUGGUUCUCAAUGAGGCAAAAAACAAAAACAACAACAAAAAUGCUCAGAAUUUUUUGGCCUACCACACCACCAACCCACCUCUCACUUCAAAAUACAAACCCAAUAAAAACGUGUCCACUGAGACA